This 861-nucleotide ribosomal RNA is filed under the name Streptococcus equinus. RNAcentral describes it as "bacterial SSU rRNA". It matches the Rfam family "Bacterial small subunit ribosomal RNA", at positions 29 to 873 of the family's 1533-position model. Lineage: Bacteria; Bacillati; Bacillota; Bacilli; Lactobacillales; Streptococcaceae. The record is from RNAcentral.
ACGAACGCUGGCGGCGUGCCUAAUACAUGCAAGUAGAACGCUGAAGACUUUAGCUUGCUAAAGUUGGAAGAGUUGCGAACGGGUGAGUAACGCGUAGGUAACCUGCCUACUAGCGGGGGAUAACUAUUGGAAACGAUAGCUAAUACCGCAUAACAGCAUUUAACCCAUGUUAGAUGCUUGAAAGGAGCAAUUGCUUCACUAGUAGAUGGACCUGCGUUGUAUUGCUAGUUGGUGGGUAACGGCUCACCAAGCGACGAUACAUAGCCGACCUGAGAGGGUGAUCGGCCACACUGGGACUGAGACACGGCCCAGACUCCUACGGGAGGCAGCAGUAGGGAAUCUUGGCAAUGGGGGCAACCCUGACCGAGCAACGCCGGUGAGUGAAGAAGGUUUUCGGAUCGUAAGCUCUGUGUAAAGAGAACGUGUGUGAGAGUGGAAAGUUCACACAGUGACGGUACUUACCAGAAAGGGACGGCUAACUACGUGCCAGCAGCCGCGGUAAUACGUAGGUCCCGAGCGUUGUCCGGAUUUAUUGGGCUAAAGCGAGCGCAGGCGGUUUAAUAAGUCUGAAGUUAAAGCAGUGGCUUAACCAUUGUUCGCUUUGGAACUGUUAGACUUGAGUGCAGAAGGGGAGAGUGGAAUUCCAUGUGUAGCGGUGAAAUGCGUAGAUAUAUGGGGAACACCGGUGGCGAAACGGCUCUCUGGUCUGUAACUGACGCUGAGGCUCGAAAGCGGGGGAGCAAACAGGAUUAGAUACCCUGGUAGUCCACGCCGUAACGAUGAGUGCUAGGUGUAGGCCCUUUCCGGGGCUUAGUGCCGCAGCUAACGCAUUAAGCUCCGCUUGCACGACGCCGGGGGUUU